Gastrolobium bilobum is the source of this 107-nucleotide small nucleolar RNA. Lineage: Eukaryota; Viridiplantae; Streptophyta; Magnoliopsida; Fabales; Fabaceae. The record is from RefSeq and is a predicted model, not a curated record.
ACCCCAUGUUUUGGACAUUUCCUGAUGAUGUCCUUAUAUCUCUCUCAUGCUUCAUAGAGAUUUUCUCCAUAAAAUAUUCUGAAAUUAGAUAGUUCUGCUCUAACAUC